This 248-nucleotide unclassified non-coding RNA is filed under the name Ascomycota sp. RNAcentral's name for it is "partial contains small subunit ribosomal RNA, internal transcribed spacer 1, and 5.8S ribosomal RNA". The stretch from base 1 to 47 matches the Rfam family "Eukaryotic small subunit ribosomal RNA", at positions 1785 to 1831 of the family's 1831-position model. The record is from RNAcentral. Lineage: Eukaryota; Fungi; Ascomycota.
AAAGUCGUAACAAGGUUUCCGUAGGUGAACCUGCGGAAGGAUCAUUAUCGUGCGGGGCUCCGGCCCCUAAGGAUGUAGGCCAGUCAGAAACGGCUGGUUUACGCUGUCUAUAUUACCCUUGUCUAUGAGUACUACUGUUUCCUCGGCAGGCUUGCCUGCCAAUGGGGACCCUAUCAAACCUUUUUAUAUUGUUGUAACCGUAACCAAACAAAUAAUCAAAACUUUCAACAACGGAUCUCUUGGUUCUG